RNAcentral lists this transfer RNA (72 nucleotides) under Chelonia mydas (Green sea turtle). It matches the Rfam family "tRNA". Rfam says of the family: Transfer RNA (tRNA) molecules are approximately 80 nucleotides in length. The record is from Rfam by way of RNAcentral. Lineage: Eukaryota; Metazoa; Chordata; Testudines; Cheloniidae.
AGCAGUGUAGUUCAGCGGUUAGAGCAGUGGACUGGGAUUCAGGAAGCCUGGGUUCUAUUUCCAGCUCUGCUA